AUAGAGAAGCUGAUUCCUUCCCCGUCCCCCUGCGAGAGUCUAGGAGACUCACAGAAUAGCGUCAGUGUUCGGGACAAGAAGGGGCCUUCCAGGAGUGUGCAUUUCACACCCUGCCCUCCAGGAGGGUGCAAAGAGCCUGAUGUGUCUCAUUGGCCAGUUCACUGAGUGAACAUCGCUACUGCGACCCGAUUCAGCUUUGAGGUGGUUCGCCAAGGACUUGGGGCUGGCUGUGCGUUGACAGCCAAGGGACCCGGGGAAGGAGCAGCACCCGAGGCAUGCAGGGGAGGUCUGGGGAUCACUGGCCCUUGUCCCGCCCACUGGGAGACCUGGAAGCCGAAGCUCACCGGUGGCUGGCAGAAGCGUGCUGCAAGGAAGAGAUCAUCAAAGAAAAAUCUGGAAAACAUUCAGGAACAAUUUGCAAAAGGCACGGAAUAUGCGGUCCCUUUGGGGCACACGGAGCCCCUGUUGUGUAUCCCACUUCUAAUUCCUUAACUUGCACCUUCAGAAAAAUGACAAAAGGAAGUGAUCAGAACGAACUUUAAAACUCUGCUACAUAGGAACUUGGAGUGGCCUGCGGAGCCUGUUCAGGCCUCGGUGGGUGUGUGCAUCUUAGCACUCAGGGCACUAGGGAGCCCCGGCCACCACCUCAGGGAGCCCCUCUGCUCCUGCUCCCAUCUCACUACGGAUCCUAGCGCCUCCUCCUGAGGGCCACCCUGCCCCACUGAGGGCGGAUCUGUCCCUGCUUGAUGAUGUCGGGCUGCAUGGUGCUCACGCCGGUCCCCAGGGUUGCUCCCUGCCCAGGCCUGUCACCGCAGUGCGAGCGCUCCACGGAGGGCAGCGUUGCCUCAGAUGUCCCGCGUCUGCUUCUCUAAGUGAUACUCCGGCCACGUGGCGGCGGCCCUGGCUGCUCUGAAGGCGGUGGUCACUAACCUCAGACCUUGGGAUAGUGCCUGGCGUCCCUGCUGACUUUAGGGGAAAAGCCCACCCCGUGGAGGCGCAGUUGGUCAGGACCUCGGACAGGGACCCUGGCUCCAAAUCGUUAUCCGCGCCUUCUCUGGUUUUUCCCUGCUUUCCUUUCCCUCUCUUCCGGGCCAGCCUUGAGCACGAAGCCUGGGAGGCGUCGCCUGGCACCUUUCACUGUUUCAGCACCCGCAGGCAGGGCCCGAGGUGGAGGCGGGGAUCUGAGUCUGGCCUCACUCCGCCUAAGCUCUAGCUGUCCCUGGGGUCUCCUGCCAGACCACAACGUGGGGGCCGAGCUUGUGGGCCCCAGCUGGCCCCUCCUGAACAUGCGGCUAAGCUCAGCAUGGUGACACUCCUAUAACCCAGCAGCACUCGGGAGCCAGAGGCUGGAGGGUUGCUAGUUUGAAGCCAGCCUGGGGAAUAUUGCGAGCCCCUGGCUCAAAACAAAACUAAACUAAACUAACACUGUGACUGCCUCUCUGUCGGUCCUUCUGUGCAUCUGGAAGCAAGGGUGGCUGGACCACACUCUGGGAUCGAGACUGAUGAGCAACUCUAUGCGCUAGACACGGGACAUUGUCAGCGUCCUGUGCUUCAGCCCCAGCUGCCACUAGCUCUGUGCCACCAAAGGUCCAGCAACAAGAUCCAGGGCUUGGAGGGCAACAUCAUCAUCCCAGAAAUCAAGGUUACAAUGCUGAGGACCUGCAUUACAGAUGAAGAAACCAAGGCGCAGAGAGGGUGGUCAAACAGGACCCCACAGCUCACCCAGACUGGAGACCCCAGAAACUCGGCCCUGUGAGUAGACACCGGUGCAGGAUGACAACUUUGAGCCACGAGUGAGGACGAGGUGACUCCACCAAUCCAUCCAUUCAUGCAGCAAAUACUCACUGAGCACCUGCUAUGUGCCAAGCACUGCUCAGGCAGCUGGCAGCAUCAGUGACCAAGACAAACCAGGUCCACUUCUCAUGAAACUCCCAUUGUGUUA
This is a long non-coding RNA of Heterocephalus glaber (naked mole-rat), 1942 nucleotides long. RefSeq lists it as uncharacterized. NCBI's taxonomy places the organism in Eukaryota, Metazoa, Chordata, Mammalia, Rodentia, Bathyergidae. The record is from RefSeq and is a predicted model, not a curated record.